Molecule: ribosomal RNA, 524 nt
Filed under: uncultured bacterium
Lineage: Bacteria
Description: partial 16S ribosomal RNA
Rfam family: Bacterial small subunit ribosomal RNA
Source: RNAcentral
GACGAACGCUGGCGGCGUGCUUAACACAUGCAAGUCGAACGGACAGACAGAGAGCUUGCUCUCUUGAAGUUAGUGGCGAACGAGUGAGUAACGCGUAAUCAACCUGCCCUUCAGAGGGGGAUAACAACGGGAAACCGUUGCUAAUACCGCGUACGAUUCAUGAACGGCAUCGUUUAUGAAUGAAAGGUGGCCUCUAUGUAUAAGCUAUCGCUGAAGGAGGGGAUUGCGUCUGAUUAGCUAGUUGGAGGGGUAAAGGCCCACCAAGGCAAUGAUCAGUAGCCGGUCUGAGAGGAUGAACGGCCACAUUGGGACUGAGACACGGCCCAAACUCCCACGGGAGGCAGCAGUGGGGAAUCUUCCGCAAUGGACGAAAGUCUGACGGAGCAACGCCGCGUGAGUGAUGAAGGUCUUCGGAUUGUAAAGCUCUGUUAAUCGGGACGAAAGAGUUCUGCGUGAAUAAUGCAGAAAAGUGACGGUACCGGAAUAGAAAGCCACGGCUAACUACGUGCCAGCCGCCGCCGUAA